AAGACUAUAGACCUGCGGAGUACCUGCGGAAGGAUCAUUAACGAAUGGUCCCCGUACCUUCAAACACCUCAAACCAGUGGACAUUUGAAAAUGUGCUUCGGCGCUCUUGCGUCGCCUUUAUGCUGUAUAUAUGUCGUUAGUGUCUGAAUGCAAACCAAAAGAAUCAAAACUUUCAACAACGGAUCUCU
This 188-nucleotide unclassified non-coding RNA is filed under the name soil metagenome. RNAcentral's name for it is "partial contains 5.8S ribosomal RNA, internal transcribed spacer 2, and large subunit ribosomal RNA". The record is from RNAcentral.